AGCUCCAAUAGCGUAUAUUAAAGUUGUUGCAGUUAAAAAGCUCGUAGUUGGAUUUCUGUUUUGAAUUUCCGGUCCGUUUCUUUGAAGCGUGUACUAGGACAUUUGAUUCAUUUAUUGUGAGGACCCUUGACUGGCAUUAAGUUGUCUGGUUUUGUGGACUUGCAUCGUUUACUGUGAAAAAAUUAGAGUGUUUCAAGCAGGCGUUUGCUUUCGAAUACAUUAGCAUGGAAUAAUAAGAUACGACACUGGUGGUCUAUUUUGUUGGUUUGCACACCAGAGUAAUGAUUAAUAGGGACAGUUGGGGGUAUUCGUAUUCCUGUGGAAGAGGUGAAAUUCUUGGAUCACAGGAAGACGAUCUUAGGCGAAAGCAUUUACCAUGGAUGUUUUCAUUAAUCAAGAA
Molecule: ribosomal RNA, 400 nt
Filed under: phytoplankton environmental sample
Lineage: Eukaryota
Description: partial small subunit ribosomal RNA
Rfam family: Eukaryotic small subunit ribosomal RNA
Source: RNAcentral